CGCCAGGGUCAGGUCCACCUGGGUUCCAACGCCAGCACCACCACUACAAACCCUGCCUGUGGGCAAGUCAGUUACAUUCGCUGAGCUCCCAGUUCCUCAUUUCAAAAUGGGAAUUACAUACCUCUCAACAACUCGGUUUUUGUGCCACUGGCACACACCGGAGCUGCUGGGAAUCUGUGUGGACCGCUGCCAACGAGACCCGGACUGUGGGACUGGACAGCAGUGUAUCAUGGUGGGAUGUCGUCGAACCUGCGCUCCAGCCCUGGGACCAGGUGUCUGUGUGGAAGAAUGCCAAAGUCACCGAGACUGUGCUGUAGGACGUCUAUGUGUCAGCAAUGGAUGUGGCCGUGUCUGCCGGCCAGCCCAAGACCAAGGUCCCACUCCCUCUACAGAGCCAGCCCAGUUCUGAAAAGACUGUUUUUCAGAUGGAUCAAGACCCAGAACUUGUCCAAGGUUGCCUCCAGGAACUAAUGGACUUUGUGAUGAAAUGUGUAGAGGAGAUGAAGCUUGUCCCAGGGGACAGAAAUGCUGCAGCCAUGGUGGUGGUGGCCACACCUGCCAAAUCGCUAUUCAAGACAUCAGUAUAAGAUAGAGAGCUGUUUACCGGAAGCAUGGGUCUCUGCUGAUCUUUACAGCACAGAAGGGAACCCAUCCGCCCCUCUGCUCACUGAAGUCUGGGUGGCAUGUGGAGAAAGCUGGUUGGUAGCAAAGAGCAGGAAUUUCUGGAAAGUGUCGUGAAUAUCUUGGUGUUGUAGGAGGAAGAUUUCCUUAUCCGUUUGGAUGAUUAAUCAACCUUAGCCUCCUUCAGUGACCAUUCCCAAAUGUCACCUUUAUGCCGGUACCUGGUGUUGGGCUUUCUACUAUCUUUUCCUGGCUACUUUCUAUUCCUGGAACCCCAGUACCAUAUGAUUAGGAUCUGUAAUAACUUUGGCAUCAGUGUUCAGUUCUGGCAAUUACUACAGAAAUCAUGGGGUGAAUGCUUCCAAAAUAAUCCUUCUUCUGAAUAAAAUUAUUUCUGUGGCAUUAGCCAACCUGAAUCAUCAUUUCUGUGUAAGACUUCAGCUAAUUUACAUUAGUACCUCCACCCCCAACAAGUAUUUAACCCCAACCAGUGGAACCUGUCUCUGUUUCUUUAUCCCUCAGCCCUCAUAUCAUCUCUGUCACCCUUAUCCUUACUCCUUGUAGGAGAUAUUUAUAGUGACAAUAACAAUGUAUAACAAG
Molecule: long non-coding RNA, 1221 nt
Filed under: Equus caballus (horse)
Lineage: Eukaryota; Metazoa; Chordata; Mammalia; Perissodactyla; Equidae
Description: lncRNA (ENSECAG00000051028.1)
Source: RNAcentral